Molecule: ribosomal RNA, 488 nt
Filed under: uncultured bacterium
Lineage: Bacteria
Description: partial 16S ribosomal RNA
Rfam family: Bacterial small subunit ribosomal RNA
Source: RNAcentral
GAUGAACGCUAGCUACAGGCUUAACACAUGCAAGUCGCAGGGUAACAUGAGGAAAGCUUGCUUUCCUUGAUGACGACUGGCGCACGGGUGAGUAACGCGUAUCCAACCUUCCCAUAACUACGGGAUAACCCGUUGAAAGACGGCCUAAUACCGUAUGAUAUCGUUUGCUGACAUCAAAUAACGAUUAAAGGUUUAGCGGUUAUGGAUGGGGAUGCGUCUGAUUAGCUUGUUGGCGGGGUAACGGCCCACCAAGGCGACGAUCAGUAGGGGUUCUGAGAGGAAGGUCCCCCACAUUGGAACUGAGACACGGUCCAAACGCCUACGGGAGGCAGCAGUGAGGAAUAUUGGUCAAUGGGCGAGAGCCUGAACCAGCCAAGUAGCGUGCAGGACGACGGCCCUAUGGGUUGUAAACUGCUUUUAGGUGGGGAUAAAGUGCGUGACGUGUCAUGCAUUGCAGGUACCACAUGAAUAAGGACCGGCUAAUUCCG